GAUGAACGCUGGCGGCGUGCCUAAUACAUGCAAGUCGAGCGAACGGACGAGAAGCUUGCUUUUCUGAUGUUAGCGGCGGACGGGUGAGUAACACGUGGAUAACCUACCUAUAAGACUGGGAUAACUUCGGGAAACCGGAGCUAAUACCGGAUAAUAUUUUGAACCGCAUGGUUCAAAAGUGAAAGACGGUCUUGCUGUCACUUAUAGAUGGAUCCGCGCUGCAUUAGCUAGUUGGUAAGGUAACGGCUUACCAAGGCAACGAUGCAUAGCCGACCUGAGAGGGUGAUCGGCCACACUGGAACUGAGACACGGUCCAGACUCCUACGGGAGGCAGCAGUAGGGAAUCUUCCGCAAUGGGCGAAAGCCUGACGGAGCAACGCCGCGUGAGUGAUGAAGGUCUUCGGAUCGUAAAACUCUGUUAUUAGGGAAGAACAUAUGUGUAAGUAACUGUGCACAUCUUGACGGUACCUAAUCAGAAAGCCACGGCUAACUACGUGCCAGCAGCCGCGGUAAUACGUAGGUGGCAAGCGUUAUCCGGAAUUAUUGGGCGUAAAGCGCGCGUAGGCGGUUUUUUAAGUCUGAUGUGAAAGCCCACGGCUCAACCGUGGAGGGUCAUUGGAAACUGGAAAACUUGAGUGCAGAAGAGGAAAGUGGAAUUCCAUGUGUAGCGGUGAAAUGCGCAGAGAUGUGGAGGAACACCAGUGGCGAAGGCGACUUUCUGGUCUGUAACUGACGCUGAUGUGCGAAAGCGUGGGGAUCAAACAGGAUUAGAUACCCUGGUAGUCCACGCCGUAAACGAUGAGUGCUAAGUGUUAGGGGGUUUCCGCCCCUUAGUGCUGCAGCUAACGCAUUAAGCACUCCGCCUGGGGAGUACGACCGCAAGGUUGGAACUCAAAGGAAUUGACGGGGGCCCGCACAAGCGGUGGAGCAUGUGGUUUAAUUCGAAGCAACGCGAAGAACCUUACCAAAUCUUGACAUCCUUUGACAACUCUAGAGAUAGAGCCUUCCCCUUCGGGGGACAAAGUGACAGGUGGUGCAUGGUUGUCGUCAGCUCGUGUCGUGAGAUGUUGGGUUAAGUCCCGCAACGAGCGCAACCCUUAAGCUUAGUUGCCAUCAUUAAGUUGGGCACUCUAAGUUGACUGCCGGUGACAAACCGGAGGAAGGUGGGGAUGACGUCAAAUCAUCAUGCCCCUUAUGAUUUGGGCUACACACGUGCUACAAUGGACAAUACAAAGGGCAGCGAAACCGCGAGGUCAAGCAAAUCCCAUAAAGUUGUUCUCAGUUCGGAUUGUAGUCUGCAACUCGACUACAUGAAGCUGGAAUCGCUAGUAAUCGUAGAUCAGCAUGCUACGGUGAAUACGUUCCCGGGUCU
RNAcentral lists this ribosomal RNA (1372 nucleotides) under uncultured bacterium. RNAcentral describes it as "bacterial SSU rRNA". It matches the Rfam family "Bacterial small subunit ribosomal RNA", at positions 28 to 1381 of the family's 1533-position model. The record is from RNAcentral.